UAUUGUCUUCUGAAAUACUUUUCUAUUUUUUAUUUCUUUAUGCGAACCUACUCAAACUAGGAACAAAUUUAGGCUGUUCUGAACAAUCUGUAUGUUCUUUUACUGUGGAAUGAAGUAGCCCCUUGGGCUAAACAAGAACUGAAUGAACUUUCAUGAAAAAUAAUAUCAGCUGCUCCAGUCACCUCAGCUUAACUGAAAAAAAAGUGCAAGGCAUGUACCAAGAGAAAUGGGGAAGGAGACAUGCCAGGGUGCUAUCCAGACAUUCUUCUGAGAAAGUCUACCUUCUUGUGCAAACAGAGAGAUACUUCCAAGGUGAGUGCAGUUUGGAGGGUUUUUCCUGCCUUUUCACUGUGACUGUAAGCCUGGAGAGGCUCCUGCUGUAAGCUUUUGCUUUAGCUUUAGAUCCUUGGCACACUGGUGUAUGUGAGAGAUCUAAGCUAAAUGAAAGAGAUCCAGCCAAGCAGCACAGUUGCAUCAUAUAAGUGUUACCCUCAGUUUGGAUAUCUGCAACAAGAUUUCUUAGAGUAGUUUGAGUGACAGGUCACUCAGAAGGCCACUGUCAAAAGUUUUAAUGGGUGCUCUUGAGUUGUCUCCCCUGGCUUUUGUAGUUAUGCAGUAGGCUUUGUUCUCUGCAGUUGUUCAUGGCCUCUAGCCUCAAGCCAUAGCAUGCAUGUCCUCAGUGUCAGAACACAAAAACAUCAGUUGGGUGGGAUGCAAAGCAAUCCUGUCAUUAUUUAGAUCACUUUGAAUUCAAAAAAAUUACCCCACUAAAAAUUGAACCGUUAUGUCUUAAUGCCUGAGAUGUAACUCAUGUGACCUAAACAAACUCAGGACCAGCUGCAACAAAAUACACAUGCAGCCAGUCUGCUCUGAAAACACGGGUGAACAGUGGGUGGAUGGAGGACAUUCUGCUGCCUUUGUGUCCAGGAACCACUUUUUCAGGCUGUAGAAUAGUCACAGCCCUGGAGACUUGAUGAUCUCAAAGAUCCUUUCCUACCUAGUUAAUUCUGUGAUUCUGUGUGAUUCUGUUGUUCUGUGAUCCCAGCCUUGAACUCAUGCUGUAGUAGGUGGUUCUUACUGUUCUCUGAUCAUUACCAAGUCUAAGAACCAUUGCCAGUUUCAUUUACAAAUUAUGGAAAUGAGGCAGAAACUGGAUGAUGGACUGGCUUAAAACCAAAAUCAGGACUUUUGCAUUUAAUGC
Molecule: long non-coding RNA, 1201 nt
Filed under: Junco hyemalis (dark-eyed junco)
Lineage: Eukaryota; Metazoa; Chordata; Aves; Passeriformes; Passerellidae
Description: lncRNA (ENSJHYG00000013678.1)
Source: RNAcentral